UCGGUCAGCAUCUGAGGCGAACGCUGCGCGGUAACAGCCACCGUGAGCGUGGCGCGGAGCGGCGGCUGCUUGUCGGGGAUCUCUGUCAAACACGCCCUUAUCUCUCUUUCAUGGUAGUGUUUUUCUCCAUCAGUGCUCGUUUCUCUGGAGAAUAUUCAAGUUGAUACGUUUCCCUCUACCGGCCUGGAGUGGAAGUGCAGCAUCAAAACAGGAGGAGAGGCUCGCCCAGCAAAAACAAGUACAUUUAUAUGGAAAAAUGUUUUGGAACUUCAAUACACUGAGUCCUGACUGUCACUUAAAGAUGGAGAAUAGAACACAGUGUCUUCAUUUUCAUUGUUACUGUACGGAAAAAAAGACAUUUUUGCAGUUACACCAGUGACUGUAGCUUCUUCAAAUUGUUUCCUAAGGAUUCAGAGGGACAAGUCCCCCCCACCCAAAAAUUAACUUACUAAACAUCUCCUGAUUUAUUGUUUUUUCUAAUUUUUCUUAUUUCUUUCUUAUUUAUAGAAAAAAGGUGACUGGGAAUGGAUAAAAAUCUUUUGUUUUUCAAUGCCAAGCAUAAUCAUUCAGAGGGCAUGACCUCCAUGUCUGCAGCUGUUUUUUUUUUUUUUUUUUUUAAUGAAGUAAUGAUACUAAUGUGUGCAAAAAUGCACCUUAUAGUGAUAUAGAAUAUCUGCCCAAGCAGCACGGGCUGAAUAUUGCCGCUCAAUUGCAAUCCUGUGGAAGUCCUCCUUCAGAAGAGCCUCUCUCCCCAUGCUCACUCAGUAGCUGCCCACUACAAACAUGUGUUGCACCAGACAUCUCGGUGUAAGUAUUCAUUAGUUGUUUUAGCCUCCAGUCAUUUUCCACUUGUUUCCCAAAGCUGGAUCACAUUACACCACAGAGGAUUCCAGUCCUAGAAAUGCAAAGACCCACUCUGAUAAAAGAUUACCGAACCUA
This is a long non-coding RNA of Salarias fasciatus (jewelled blenny), 939 nucleotides long. RefSeq lists it as uncharacterized. Lineage: Eukaryota; Metazoa; Chordata; Actinopteri; Blenniiformes; Blenniidae. The transcript is spliced from 4 exons. The record is from RefSeq and is a predicted model, not a curated record.